This 251-nucleotide ribosomal RNA is filed under the name uncultured bacterium. RNAcentral describes it as "partial 16S ribosomal RNA". It matches the Rfam family "Bacterial small subunit ribosomal RNA", at positions 1250 to 1500 of the family's 1533-position model. The record is from RNAcentral.
CGAGACGGCGACGUUAAGCAAAUCCCAGAAAUAACGUCCCAGUUCGGAUUGUAGUCUGCAACCCGACUACAUGAAGCUGGAAUCGCUAGUAAUCGCGGAUCAGAAUGCCGCGGUGAAUACGUUCCCGGGUCUUGUACACACCGCCCGUCACACCAUGGGAGUCGGAAAUGCCCGAAGUCAGUGACCUAACCGAAAGGAAGGAGCUGCCGAAGGUGGAGCCGGUAACUGGGGUGAAGUCGUAACAAGGUACC